RNAcentral lists this ribosomal RNA (484 nucleotides) under uncultured bacterium. Its description in RNAcentral is "partial 16S ribosomal RNA". It matches the Rfam family "Bacterial small subunit ribosomal RNA", at positions 30 to 507 of the family's 1533-position model. The record is from RNAcentral.
AUUGAACGCUGGCGGCAGGCCUAACACAUGCAAGUCGAGCGGAUGAAGGGAGCUUGCUCCCGGAUUCAGCGGCGGACGGGUGAGUAAUGCCUAGGAAUCUGUCUGGUAGUGGGGGAUAACGUCCGGAAACGGGCGCUAAUACCGCAUACGUCCUGAGGGAGAAAGUGGGGGAUCUUCGGACCUCACGCUAUCAGAUGAGCCUAGGUCGGAUUAGCUAGUUGGUGGGGUAAAGGCCUACCAAGGCGACGAUCCGUAACUGGUCUGAGAGGAUGAUCAGUCACACUGGAACUGAGACACGGUCCAGACUCCUACGGGAGGCAGCGGUGGGGAAUAUUGGACAAUGGGCGAAAGCCUGAUCCAGCCAUGCCGCGUGUGUGAAGAAGGUCUUCGGAUUGUAAAGCACUUUAAGUUGGGAGGAAGGGCAGUAAGUUAAUACCUUGCUGUUUUGACGUUACCAACAGAAUAAGCACCGGCUAACUUCGUG